GAUGAACGCUGGCGGCGUGCCUAAUACAUGCAAGUCGAGCGAACGGACGAGAAGCUUGCUUUUCUGAUGUUAGCGGCGGACGGGUGAGUAACACGUGGAUAACCUACCUAUAAGACUGGGAUAACUUCGGGAAACCGGAGCUAAUACCGGAUAAUAUUUUGAACCGCAUGGUUCAAUAGUGAAAGACGGUCUUGCUGUCACUUAUAGAUGGAUCCGCGCUGCAUUAGCUAGUUGGUAAGGUAACGGCUUACCAAGGCAACGAUGCAUAGCCGACCUGAGAGGGUGAUCGGCCACACUGGAACUGAGACACGGUCCAGACUCCUACGGGAGGCAGCAGUAGGGAAUCUUCCGCAAUGGGCGAAAGCCUGACGGAGCAACGCCGCGUGAGUGAUGAAGGUCUUCGGAUCGUAAAACUCUGUUAUUAGGGAAGAACAAAUGUGUAAGUAACUAUGCACAUCUUGACGGUACCUAAUCAGAAAGCCACGGCUAACUACGUG
RNAcentral lists this ribosomal RNA (497 nucleotides) under uncultured bacterium. RNAcentral describes it as "partial 16S ribosomal RNA". It matches the Rfam family "Bacterial small subunit ribosomal RNA", at positions 28 to 507 of the family's 1533-position model. The record is from RNAcentral.